Molecule: ribosomal RNA, 406 nt
Filed under: uncultured bacterium
Lineage: Bacteria
Description: bacterial SSU rRNA
Rfam family: Bacterial small subunit ribosomal RNA
Source: RNAcentral
GACGGUACCUGAGGAAUAAGCACCGGCUAACUUCGUGCCAGCAGCCGCGGUAAUACGAAGGGUGCAAGCGUUAAUCGGAAUUACUGGGCGUAAAGCGUGCGUAGGCGGUUUGUUAAGUCUGUUGUGAAAUCCCCGGGCUCAACCUGGGAAUGGCAAUGGAUACUGGCAAGCUAGAGUGUGAUAGAGGAUGGUGGAAUUCCCGGUGUAGCGGUGAAAUGCGUAGAGAUCGGGAGGAACAUCAGUGGCGAAGGCGGCCAUCUGGAUCAACACUGACGCUGAGGCACGAAAGCGUGGGGAGCAAACACGAUUAGAUACCCCGGUAGUCCACGCCCUAAACGAUGCGAACUGGAUGUUGGUCUCAACUCGGAGAUCAGUGUCGAAGCUAACGCGUUAAGUUCGCCGCCUG